CCUACGGGAGGCAGCAGUGAGGAAUAUUGGUCAAUGGCCGGAAGGCUGAACCAGCCAUGCCGCGUGAAGGUCAGUGCCCUAUGGGCGUUAAACUUCUUUUGUGCGGGAGCAAUAAUGGUCACGUGUGGCCAGACGAGAGUACCGUACGAAUAAGCAUCGGCUAACUCCGUGCCAGCAGCCGCGGUAAUACGGGGGAUGCAAGCGUUAUCCGGAUUUAUUGGGUGUAAAGGGUGCGUAGGCUGUGAGGUAAGUCAGCGGUGAAAUGCCCCCGCUCAACGGGGUGAAGUGCCAUUGAUACUGGCUGGCUGGAAUGCGGAUGCCGUGGGAGGAAUGUGUGGUGUAGCGGUGAAAUGCAUAGAUAUCACACAGAACACCGAUUGCGAAGGCAUCUCACGAAUCCGAGAUUGACGCUGAUGCACGAAAGCGUGGGUAUCAAACAGGAUUAGAUACCCUUGUAGUC
This 460-nucleotide ribosomal RNA is filed under the name uncultured bacterium. RNAcentral's name for it is "partial 16S ribosomal RNA". It matches the Rfam family "Bacterial small subunit ribosomal RNA", at positions 338 to 795 of the family's 1533-position model. The record is from RNAcentral.